AUUGAACGCUGGCGGCAGGCCUAACACAUGCAAGUCGAACGAGUGGCGGACGGGUGAGUAAUGUCUGGGAAACUGCCUGAUGGAUGGGGAUAACUACUGGCAACGGUAGCUAAUACCGCAUACCAUCGGAUGUGCCCAGAUGGGAUUAGCUAGUAGGUGGGGUAACGGCUAACCUAGGCGACGAUGCCUAGCUGGUCUGAGAGGAUGAACAGCAACACUGGAACUGAGACACGGUCCAGACUCCUACGGGAGGCAGCAGUGGCGAAUAUUGCACAAUGUGCGCAAGACUGAUGCAGCCAUGCCGCGUGUAUGAAGAAGGCCUUCGGGUUGUAAAGUACUUUCAGCGGGGAGGCGUUACCCGCAGAAGAAGCACCGGCUAACUACGUGCCAGCAGCCGCGGUAAUAC
RNAcentral lists this ribosomal RNA (406 nucleotides) under uncultured bacterium. RNAcentral's name for it is "partial 16S ribosomal RNA". It matches the Rfam family "Bacterial small subunit ribosomal RNA", at positions 30 to 526 of the family's 1533-position model. The record is from RNAcentral.